This 580-nucleotide ribosomal RNA is filed under the name uncultured bacterium. RNAcentral describes it as "partial 16S ribosomal RNA". It matches the Rfam family "Bacterial small subunit ribosomal RNA", at positions 355 to 932 of the family's 1533-position model. The record is from RNAcentral.
UGGGGAAUUUUGGACAAUGGGCGAAAGCCUGAUCCAGCAAUGCCGCGUGUGUGAAGAAGGCCUUCGGGUUGUAAAGCACUUUUGUCCGGAAAGAAAUCCUUGGCUCUAAUACAGUCGGGGGAUGACGGUACCGGAAGAAUAAGCACCGGCUAACUACGUGCCAGCAGCCGCGGUAAUACGUAGGGUGCAAGCGUUAAUCGGAAUUACUGGGCGUAAAGCGUGCGCAGGCGGUUUGCUAAGACCGAUGUGAAAUCCCCGGGCUCAACCUGGGAACUGCAUUGGUGACUGGCAGGCUAGAGUAUGGCAGAGGGGGGUAGAAUUCCACGUGUAGCAGUGAAAUGCGUAGAGAUGUGGAGGAAUACCGAUGGCGGAGGCAGCCCCCUGGGCCAAUACUGACGCUCAUGCACGAAAGCGUGGGGAGCAAACAGGAUUAGAUACCCUGGUAGUCCACGCCCUAAAACGAUGUCAACUAGUUGUUGGGGAUUCAUUUCCUUAGUAACGUAGCUAACGCGUGAAGUUGACCGCCUGGGGAGUACGGUCGCAAGAUUAAAACUUAAAUGAAUUGACGGGGUCAUAGCUG